UGGGGAAUAUUGCACAAUGGGCGCAAGCCUGAUGCAGCCAUGCCGCGUGUAUGAAGAAGGCCUUCGGGUUGUAAAGUACUUUCAGCGGGGAGGAAGGGAGUAAAGUUAAUACCUUUGCUCAUUGACGUUACCCGCAGAAGAAGCACCGGCUAACUCCGUGCCAGCAGCCGCGGUAAUACGGAGGGUGCAAGCGUUAAUCGGAAUUACUGGGCGUAAAGCGCACGCAGGCGGUUUGUUAAGUCAGAUGUGAAAUCCCCGGGCUCAACCUGGGAAAUGCAUUAGAAACUGGCAGGCUAGAGUCUUGUAGAGGGGGGGAGAAUUCCAGGUGUAGCGGUGAAAUGCGUAGAGGUCUGGAGGAAUACAGGUGGCGAAGGCGGCCCCCUGGACAAAGACUGACGCUCAGGUGCGAAAGCGUGGGGAGCAAACAGG
Molecule: ribosomal RNA, 429 nt
Filed under: Chloroflexota bacterium
Lineage: Bacteria; Bacillati; Chloroflexota
Description: Chloroflexi bacterium partial 16S ribosomal RNA
Rfam family: Bacterial small subunit ribosomal RNA
Source: RNAcentral